UGGCUUCCUCAUGCCUGAUACUAAUUUUUAAAGAGUUAUUUUCAUCUUUGAGACAACGUAUCUCUUUUUUCUAAUCUGUUACCUUUUUUCCCCCUUCAUAAUCUUCUUGUUUUUCUUGGAUUUUUGUUUUUGUUUUUCCUCAAUGUCUCUCAUUUGAUUUUUAAAUUCUUUUUUGAGUUCUUCUCUGGGCAGAGAGCCAUAUCACAUUACUCUUUGAGGCAGAAGCUUUUUUUUUUUUUUUUUUUUUUUAACUUUAGUACCAUCUUCUGAAGAUGAACUCCUGUUCCCAUAGUGGGUUUCUAUGGUUGGGUUCUUUCUUCUUUGCCAGUUUACUUUUUUUUUUUUUUUUUAACUAAGAGGUGUUGGGAUAAGCACUUCUGAUCGAGGGGUGGGGGGAUGGUAUCUCUAGCUUCACUUCAGGACUCUCCUCAGAACAGAACCCCAGACCAGAAGCUCCAACGUCCAGCAAGCGCCAGCAGUCAGCAGCAUCCUUUCUCCCACCCCCCACUCCCAUCUCUGCAUCCAGUGUGCUGGUUCAUUCUCACCCAGGGCUGAUUCUCUGCAGUACUGUGGUUCUCUCUAUGGCUCCAGCCAGACCAGCUAACUCCCACUUGAGCUCUACAGGGCUCCCCAUUUGGUGUUUGUACAGAGCUAGCCUGGAGGUAUUUGCAUUUCACACAGGUUAAUGGGUGGGGGUGGGAGGAAGUCUUGGUUUGUACCUGGAGGAUCUCUAUUCUGCCCCAAAUCUUCUUGAUUUUUCACCAAUCUGAGAUGCAAAUUUAUUCUGUUUAGGGGGCAAAUCUGGAGAUCUUGAAAUUUAGCAACUACUCCGCCAUCUUCUUAAAAUCUUCCUCCAGCCCACUAGAUUAUGACAUUUCACCAGUUUUUCCGCAUUGGCUUGACUCUCCUCAUCUUUUCUUUGAUCUAAACACAAAGCCUUGGAGUCAGGGGUCCAGUGCUCCCUGCUGUGUGCUCCCUGAGCUUUCUCAGACCCAUCAUUUUCAGCCUCUGAGUUCAAAGGUCUUGAGCUUCACAGAUGGAGGAGUCGGACUCUGAGGUCCCCUGCCCAGUAGUCUCUGCUUUGGAGAACUUUGCCACAGCAUUGCCCCCCUCUUUCCCCACUCUCAAAUACAUCCCACUGAUAGUUAACCAUCUCCGACUGUGAAUUCUCUCUCUAUCCCUGUAUCAAAGACUAUCGUUCAUUUAGGAUUUAGGAUUGUUUCCCCAUCUUAGAAUUCUCAGCAUUUAGCAUCAAGAGAGCACAUAGUUGGUAUUUAAUCAAUGCAUGAUAACUGGUUGAACUCUAACCUCCUUUUCAGUUCUAGACUCCAUUGGAUACACCUGAAAUUAAAGCCCCCUAUGCAGACUCCUGAGUCAACACUCACAGGUCACUGGCACUAAAGUCCCAGCAGAAGUCUUAGAUUUUCUUGGAAUGGGACCGACAGAAACGUGGCCAGAGACAGACAUCAUCCCCCACCCUUGAGCCUCAGUCUCGGCUCCACCUGGAACCCUCAGAUCGCCCUCUUCCAGCUCGACGCCGUCCUCGGGCCUUAUUCAGCUCUACAGUAGCCAUAAUUCACCUUCUCCUUUCCACCCCCACUCCAAGCACACACACAGUACCCAUGUCCCACUUCCUGCCGCACCCUGCAUCCUGCCUGUACUCCGUUGGUGGGGUUGGGGAGGGGUUAGAUCCUGCUUCCUCAGGCUGUGAGGAAAACCUCCAGGACACCUCAUCACCAUCUGCUGCCAUGUUAGACUUUGGAUGAUUUUCUAGGAUUCUCUAAGUAUAUCAUCAUAUCAUCUACGAAAAGGGGGACUGUUUGUCUAGUUUGUUUUCCAGGCACCAGAACCAUGGCCAUUACCUAGGAAAUUGUGUCAAUGAUGCCUUUCUCUGCCUCCUUAGAUGCCAGUCGUGCAAUCUGGAACUCUGAUUCCACUGAAAGGACAUCCUGGGAUCUCCAUUCCCUAGCAGGAGCGGGCCAGAUGUGGCAGCUGAGGACGUUUAUUCCCGUCACCAUAAAGAAAUAUGAAGUUUCUUUAUUUAAAGGCCCACAAAACAAAGUUUUUGUUUUUACUAUAGUCUGGUCCUCCAACAGUCCGAGGGACAGUGAACUGGCCCCCUAUUUUAAAAGUUUGAAGACCCCUGAAGUCAGACUCAAAGAAUAAGGAGAGGGCACUAAGCUGCACGUACAUGGCAAAGGAAUAAGCAUUUAUGAAGCACCUACUAUGUGCCAAGCCCUCUGCACAGCACUCUCCACAUAUGAUCUGAUUUCCUCCUUGCAACAGCCCUGGGAGGUAGGGACUAUUAUUAUCCCCAUUUUACGGUUAAGGGAAUUGAGGCAAAUUCAGUGACUUACCCAGGGUCACACAGCUAGCAAGAAUCUAAGACCAAAUUUGAACUCAGGGCUGCCUAAUGGUCAUUGAUUCUGGACACAUCUCGGUACCUGUCAAAGGCCCUCGCUCUGGUCUUGGUGGACACAGGCCUCUGGAAAUCAAGACCCGGCAGGUCUUAUCCCGCUGUGGGGGCCAAUCCUGCUGGCUGUUGCACUUUGUCUCUUUUUGAGCUGGAGCCUGUUUGGGGCCCUGGGUGGAAGAGAGACUUUCAGGGACCUUGACAAAUGGGCCCCAUCAGGAGACUCAGGCAAGACAGGCUGAGGAGGCCAAGAAAGAGUUUUCUCCACCAAAACUUGACCGAGGGGCCUGGACCCCGAGAUUUCUUAGGGUGAAUUUCCCAUCCCUCUGCUUUGAGCCUUGGUCAGCAUGGCUGCAUCUGGUGUGGUCAAUGUGAUAUCACAGUGACAGCAGGAAAGGACCUAUGGUAGCAUGACAAGCCUGAGGACAGAUGAGGAAGGCUCCUUCCCAGCCGCAGGAAGUCAAGAUCUUUAGCAAAGAGGCAAGCCCACAGUAUUGACAGGGCCACAAACAAUGAUAGACAUGGUGAGUCCCGGCUGCCCUCCUCCCAGCUUUGUCCAUCUCCAUUUCUAGAAAAGAAAUUCCUCUCCCAAGUUGAGCAUGGUGAUCAUGGCAUGGAAUGGUUUGGAUAACUCUAAGAAGGAACCAGGGAGAAGGAGAGGCUAUGAACGGAUGCUACAGGAAGCGAGCAGAACCAAGAGAACAUUACACUAACAACAAGAUUUGUGAUGAUCAACUCUGAUGGACUUGGCUCUUUUCAACCAUGAGGUGAUUCAGGGCAAUUCCAAUAGCCUUGUAAUGGAGAGAGCCAUCCACAUUCAGAGAGAGGACUAUGGGAACUGAAUAUGGAUCACAACAUAGUAUUUUCACCUUUUUGUUGUUGUUUGCUUGCUUGUUUUUUCCUCAUUUUUUCCUUUUUUUCUUGCACAGCAUGAUAAAUGUGGAAAUAUAUUUAAAAGAAUUGCACAUGGUUAACCUAUAUUGAAUUACUUGCUGUGUAGGUGAGGGAGGAGGAGGGGAGGAAGGGAGAAAAAUUUGGAACAUAAGCUUUUGAAAGGGUGAAUAUUGAAAACUUCCUUUGCCUGUAUUUUGAAAAAUAAAAAGCUAUUAUUAAAAAAGAAGAAAAAGAAUGAAGGAUGAGCAACCACAGUAGCAAUCCUGUGCCAGAUACAGACUGGAUAAUCAUGCUGGAAAAAAAGUUUGUGGUGAAAGUCCCAGCAUUCAAACCUUCAAAGUAAGGGAAGGAAGGAAAUAGAUUUAACAGAUUACAGUGCAUUAAACAUAAAUUUUCACACAAGGUGGUGGUACUUCAGAAAUUGGUAGAUAUUCAUUAAGAAAAGCUAUGAAAGCCUUUUUUAAUGUUGAAGUGAUUUUUAAAUGUUGAAGAAUUUAUCUAGUGUGCUGAUUAAAAAAAUAGCCCAAAGAACUAGUUUUAAAUUCACAUUAAAGUAUUUUAAAUUGAACCAAUUUGUUAAUUGAAUCUCAGCAAUUGUAGGCUCAGCAUCACUUUUCUAAAUUGUGUAGGUAAGAAACUUUGUCAAGAUUUUUUGAAGCAGUCAGGGUUAAAAGAUUUAUCCAGAGUCACACAGCUAGUCAUGUAAAAUAUUUUUUAAACCAGUUAAUUUUGUAAAAAUUAAAAUGUCCACCUGGUCCUGUUUUUCAGUAGGUAUUGAAUAGCUCUCUGAAUUUCAACUGUAUCACAUGCCCAGCUACAACUGAUAAUGAGACAUGAUUAUCUGAAUUGUCAUGAAACCAAGAGUCCACCAUUCAAGGGGAAUGCCAGUACUUCCCAAAGAGAGCACAAUCUGAAAACUGCUACAGGAUUUUGUUUUUGCCUGGGACAAUUGUUGGGCCAACUUCCUUAUGUAGGAUCUUUUUGAUUCAGUUUAACAGGAACAUUUUUCCACUUGAUUCUGAGCUUCACAAGGAAACUUUAUAAGUAAUGUGGAGCUUGCUCUGUCAGAAAUGACUCACUUUGAAUCAAACAAAGUUAAGAGAGUUUUUCCCACAUUAUGGCAGGUACCCUCUAGGAAACGGAUAUAAUUAUGUCCUUCCUUUUCUUUUCAUAGCAAAUUUCUAUAAUUGGGGCAGGUGAACUUUGAAAGUCUGAUUGAAUCUGGUUGACAUAUUACUUAACAAACUUACAAUAUAAAUUGGCAUAAGAAUUAUUAAAAAGAGGUACAUAUCAACAGAAUAAUUAGAAAACAGUGAGUUUGCAUGUAGUUUAUUGAUGUUAUUUACAAAGUUUUAUAGUGUAUACAAAUCAGUGAUCAAAAGAAAUGCUUUAACAUUAAGUCCCUGGAGUAGUUCAUUCUUUUAGAGUGAUCUAAAAUGACAUCUUAGUAAGGGGGAAGUAGAAAAAAUAUAGAAAUAGGAGGUUUUUUUAAAAAUAAAAAUACACAUUUUUCUUAAUUAAAAGUUUUCAUUGUCUGAUUAGACUAUUUUAAUAAGAACUAAUCCAAAUAUGAAUAGGACUUGAAUAUGACAGCAAUAAAUUUUCAAAAUUAGAUAAAGGGUUUUACACAUGCAAAACCCUGUGAAUAAUGUUCUCAUAUAUUUUUGGCGGGGGGAAGGAUUGUACUUGGGGAAAAAAAGGACAGAAUGGGGUAAAUUAUACCAUGUGAAGGGGCACAAAAGACCUAUUAAAAGAGGGGGAAAAGGAGAGAGUAAGUAUUGUUACCUUACUUUCAUUGGAUUUGGCUCAAAAACGGAAUAACAUGCACACUCAGCUGGGUAGAGAAAUUUAUUUUACCUUAUGGAGAAGUAGGAAAGGAAAGCGGAAAGAAAAGGGGUGCUGAUAGAAGGAAGAAAGGACAGAUUGAGAAAGGUGGUGGUCAAAAGCAAAAUACUGGUGAGGAGAGAAAGGGUGAAAGAAGAGAAAGAAAAGUGUAAAAUAUAUUUUCUGCUUCACCCCACCCUAACUCUAACCCUAACCUGAACCUGUUUACCACAACAAACGAGAUCCCCAGGUGAGGUCAAAAACACACCCACAUGACUACUUGCAUUUUUGUUUUUCUUCUCGGGUUAUUUUUACCUUCUGAAUUCAAUUCUUCCUGUGCAACAAGAAAACUGUUCAGUUCUGCAAACAUAUAUUGUAGCUAGGAUAUACUGUAACUUAUUUAACAUGUAUAAAACUGCCUGCCAUCUAGGGGAGGGGAUGGAGGGGGGGAGGGGAAAAAUCGGAACAGAAGUGAAUGCAAGGAACAAUGCUGUAAAAAAUUACCCUGGCAUGGGUUCUAUCAGUAAAAAGUUAUUAAAAAAAAAAAAAGGAACAAUGUUGUAAAAAAUUACCCUGGCAUAUGUUCUGUCAAUAAAAAGUUAUAAUUUAAAAAAUA
Antechinus flavipes (yellow-footed antechinus) is the source of this 5747-nucleotide long non-coding RNA. RefSeq lists it as uncharacterized. The transcript has 2 exons. NCBI's taxonomy places the organism in Eukaryota, Metazoa, Chordata, Mammalia, Dasyuromorphia, Dasyuridae. The record is from RefSeq and is a predicted model, not a curated record.